This 420-nucleotide ribosomal RNA is filed under the name uncultured Prevotellaceae bacterium. Its description in RNAcentral is "bacterial SSU rRNA". It matches the Rfam family "Bacterial small subunit ribosomal RNA", at positions 355 to 773 of the family's 1533-position model. The record is from RNAcentral. Lineage: Bacteria; Pseudomonadati; Bacteroidota; Bacteroidia; Bacteroidales; Prevotellaceae.
UGAGGAAUAUUGGUCAAUGGGCGCAGGCCUGAACCAGCCAAGUCGCGUGAGGGAAGACGGUCCUACGGAUUGUAAACCUCUUUUGUCGGGGAGUAACGUGCGGGGCGCGUCCCGUAUUGAGAGUACCCGAAGAAAAAGCAUCGGCUAACUCCGUGCCAGCAGCCGCGGUAAUACGGAGGAUGCGAGCGUUAUCCGGAUUUAUUGGGUUUAAAGGGAGCGUAGGCCGCCUGGUAAGCGUGUUGUGAAAUGUCGUUGCUCAACAACGUCACUGCAGCGCGAACUGCCGGGCUUGAGUGUGCGGAAAGCGGGCGGAAUUUGUGGUGUAGCGGUGAAAUGCUUAGAUAUCACGAGAACUCCGAUUGCGAAGGCAGCUCGCUGUAGCAUUACUGACGCUGAAGCUCGAAGGUGCGGGUAUCGAAC